This 107-nucleotide small RNA is filed under the name Marmota monax (woodchuck). The record is from RNAcentral. Lineage: Eukaryota; Metazoa; Chordata; Mammalia; Rodentia; Sciuridae.
GCCAGGCGAGGUGGCACAUGCCUGUAAUUCCAGCAGCUCAGGAGGCUGAUACAGGAGAGUCACGAGUUCGAAGGCAGCUUCAGCAACUCAGUGAGACCCUGUCUCUA